GGUUGAAGGUUGGGUAACACUAACUGGAGGACCGAACCGACUAAUGUUGAAAAAUUAGCGGAUGACCUGUGGCUGGGGGUGAAAGGCCAAUCAAACCGGGAGAUAGCUGGUUCUCCCCGAAAGCUAUUUAGGUAGCGCCUCGUGAAUUCAUCUCCGGGGGUAGAGCACUGUUUCGGCUAGGGGGCCAUCCCGGCUUACCAACCCGAUGCAAACUGCGAAUACCGGAGAAUGUUAUCACGGGAGACACACGGCGGGUGCUAACGUCCGUCGUGAAGAGGGAAACAACCCAGACCGCCAGCUAAGGUCCCAAAGUCAUGGUUAAGUGGGAAACGAUGUGGGAAGGCCCAGACAGCCAGGAUGUUGGCUUAGAAGCAGCCAUCAUUUAAAGAAAGCGUAAUAGCUCACUGGUCGAGUCGGCCUGCGCGGAAGAUGUAACGGGGCUAAACCAUGCACCGAAGCUGCGGCAGCGAACGUAUCACCCAAGACAACUUUACGGAGUUGACGAUUGACGGAGCGAAGCGACGUCAAAGCGUUCAUUAAAGUCGAGUUGGCUUAGGGAUACGUUCGUUGGGUAGGGGAGCGUUCUGUAAGCCUGUGAAGGUGUGUCGUGAGGCAUGCUGGAGGUAUCAGAAGUGCGAAUGCUGACAUAAGUAACGAUAAAGCGGGUGAAAAGCCCGCUCGCCGGAAGACCAAGGGUUCCUGUCCAACGUUAAUCGGGGCAGGGUGAGUCGACCCCUAAGGCGAGGCCGAAAGGCGUAGUCGAUGGGAAACGGGUUAAUAUUCCCGUACUUGGUGUUACUGCGAAGGGGGGACGGAGAAGGCUAUGUUGGCCGGGCGACGGUUGUCCCGGUUUAAGCGUGUAGGUGUGUGUUCCAGGUAAAUCCGGUUCACUUUAACACUGAGGCGUGACGACGAGGCACUACGGUGCUGAAGCAACAAAUGCCCUGCUUCCAGGAAAAGCCUCUAAGCAUCAGGUAACAUCAAAUCGUACCCCAAACCGACACAGGUGGUCAGGUAGAGAAUACCAAGGCGCUUGAGAGAACUCGGGUGAAGGAACUAGGCAAAAUGGUGCCGUAACUUCGGGAGAAGGCACGCUGACACGUAGGUGAAGUGAUUUACUCAUGGAGC
RNAcentral lists this ribosomal RNA (1128 nucleotides) under Salmonella enterica. RNAcentral describes it as "partial 23S ribosomal RNA". It matches the Rfam family "Bacterial large subunit ribosomal RNA", at positions 743 to 1777 of the family's 2925-position model. Lineage: Bacteria; Pseudomonadati; Pseudomonadota; Gammaproteobacteria; Enterobacterales; Enterobacteriaceae. The record is from RNAcentral.